GGCUUUGACAAGGCCGGAUGGCAUCGUGCGGACUGUUAAUCCGUAUGUCACUGGUUCGAGUCCAGUCAGAGGAGCCA
This 77-nucleotide transfer RNA is filed under the name Klebsiella pneumoniae. Its description in RNAcentral is "tRNA-Asn". The record is from RNAcentral. Lineage: Bacteria; Pseudomonadati; Pseudomonadota; Gammaproteobacteria; Enterobacterales; Enterobacteriaceae.